GAGUCUAAAACAGAAGAGCUGAGAAAUCAGUCUGUGGCCAUCGUGGACUGGAGCUCAUUGAGAUGGCAGCUUCUGCCCAGGGCCAAUCCACCCACCACUCUCCCUGCCCUUUGCCUAAUCGUCUUUAUUUUUUCCCUUUCCCUUUCUAAACUAUCUUCCAUUGUGGAUUUUGGAAUUACUGGCUGGAAUUACCCUUUUCUGAGGAACACCGCUACAUGUGAGCUAAUUCUGUGCAUCUCUCUUAAGGAAAGCGGCUCGGAGGUCCUCAGCCUAGAGAAGGGGCUCAAACACCUGAGGGGCCGAACGCCCGUGAGGUCGGGGAGGACGGUGGCCACUGCCCCGCCGGGCCGAGCCACAGCAGAGCCCCCGGCGCCGAGCGGGAGCGGCCGGGGCGGGCCGGGCCUCAGGGGAGCGGCCGCGGCGGCCCCCCCCCCCCCCCCCCCCCCCCCCCCCCCCCCCCCCCCCCCCCCCCCCCCCCCGGCGGGGCCUGCGAGGGGAGCUGCGGGGGCUGCUCGGAGCCGGGAAAUGACGGGGGGAGCCACCAGAACUGCUGGGGAAACGCUGGUUCAGCCUAAGUUAGUAGAAAGGAAUUUUGGUGUUCAUCUCAUUUGGUCUCCCGUAGUAUACAGAAACAUUCCAUCUCAAUUUGAUGUGAGAAAGCACCUGAAACACAGCUAUUGCAAACCUGCCAAGUCUAAUUAAAUUUUUGUUCUGUUUAAUUUAUUAAUUCCUGAGAUGAAAACCAUAAUACAAAGAACCAGACAGGACUGCAGCUAAGUAAUAGAGAACUAAAACUGAAAGAAAAACAUUAUGAGCCAUUUUUUUAUUGUGAUGAGACAAAUAAUUUCAUCUAUUUCCUGACAUAAAAGACAAGAAAGGGAGAGCGUAACAAAUAACACAGACAGGAGAAAGAGCAGAAUGGAGUGAAAAUUUUCUAAAUGUCACAGGAAAUGAAAUAAUGAACUCUGAAGGAAGCAGCUUCCAUUUUGCUCAGUAGAGUCUUUUCUCUCAAAGCUGUCAUGUUGGGAGAAAUGGAAAAGCUCUGAAAUAAAUUUUAAACCUGUUUGUGUUAAAGUUUGGAUUUCUUAGACCUUUUGGCAGCAGGUGUCUUUUCUUAAUAUUCAUUAUUCAUGUAGCCUCACAAUGCAUUUCAAUUUACAAAUGAAGAGGUAUACAAGCCUUUCUCCACUGCAUUAAAUAGAUGAAAUAUAUUACUGCCUUUGAGCUCAAAAUGCCAUAGCUGGAGCUUGAAAGUUAAUUGCCUGCUGCAGCUGAUAGCCAUAUGAGUUGCAAAUAAGUUUUAUUUUGAAGAAUAUGCGCAUGAACAGAGUUCUUCCAUGCAUCUUUAUAUUUUUCUGGAUUAUAAUGUACUUUCUAGUAUUAUUAUGAAAUAGU
RNAcentral lists this long non-coding RNA (1395 nucleotides) under Ficedula albicollis (Collared flycatcher). Its description in RNAcentral is "lncRNA (ENSFALG00000019999.2)". Lineage: Eukaryota; Metazoa; Chordata; Aves; Passeriformes; Muscicapidae. The record is from RNAcentral.